Molecule: ribosomal RNA, 461 nt
Filed under: uncultured bacterium
Lineage: Bacteria
Description: partial 16S ribosomal RNA
Rfam family: Bacterial small subunit ribosomal RNA
Source: RNAcentral
CCUACGGGUGGCAGCAGUGAGGAAUAUUGGUCAAUGGACGAGAGUCUGAACCAGCCAAGUAGCGUGAAGGAUGACUGCCCUAUGGGUUGUAAACUUCUUUUAUAUGGGAAUAAAACGUUCCACGUGUGGGAUUUUGUAUGUACCAUAUGAAUAAGGAUCGGCUAACUCCGUGCCAGCAGCCGCGGUAAUACGGAGGAUCCGAGCGUUAUCCGGAUUUAUUGGGUUUAAAGGGAGCGUAGGUGGCAUAAUAAGUAGCUAGUGAAAUCUGGUGGCUCAACCAUUCAGACUAUUAGCUAAACUGUUAAGCUCGAGACCGUUAGGGGUAACUGGAAUUUCUAGUGUAGGAGUGAAAUCCGUAGAUAUUAGAAAGAACACCAAUAGCGUAGGCAGGUUACUGGGACGGUUCUGACACUAAGGCACGAAAGCGUAGGGAGCAAACGGGAUUAGAUACCCCAGUAGUC